RNAcentral lists this ribosomal RNA (403 nucleotides) under uncultured bacterium. Its description in RNAcentral is "bacterial SSU rRNA". It matches the Rfam family "Bacterial small subunit ribosomal RNA", at positions 355 to 775 of the family's 1533-position model. The record is from RNAcentral.
UAGGGAAUAUUAGAAAUGGACGAAAGUCUGAUCUAGCAACACCGCGUGUGCGAAGAAGGCCUUUGGGUCGUAAAGCACUUUUUGGAAGGAAUAGGAAGGAAUGUACUUCCCGAAUAAGUCUCGGCUAACUACGUGCCAGCAGCCGCGGUAACACGUAGGUGGCAAACGUUAUCCGGAUUUACUGGGCGUAAAGCGCGUGUAGGUGGUACUCUAAGUAGGGCGUGAAAGCUCCUGGCUCAACUGGGAGAGGCCGUUCUAAACUACAGAACUAGAGGAUGGUAGAGGGAGGUGGAAUUCCAGGUGUAGCGGUGGAAUGCGCAGAUAUCUGGAGGAACACCGGUGGCGAAGGCGGCCUCCUGGACCAUUCCUGACACUCAGACGCGAAAGCUAGGGUAGCAAACGG